GAUUAUGGCUCAGGAUGAACGCUAGCUACAGGCUUAACACAUGCAAGUCGAGGGGCAGCGGGAUCUAGCUUGCUAGAUUGCCGGCGACCGGCGCACGGGUGAGUAACGCGUAUCCAACCUUCCCCUUAGUAGGGCAUAGCCCGUAGAAAUGCGGAUUAAUACCCUAUGUUGUUCAAUGCGGACAUCUAAGUUGAACCAAAGGUUUACCGCUAAGGGAUGGGGAUGCGUCCGAUUAGGCAGCAGGCGGGGUAACGGCCCACCUGGCCGACGAUCGGUAGGGGUUCUGAGAGGAAGGUCCCCCACAUUGGAACUGAGACACGGUCCAAACUCCUACGGGAGGCAGCAGUGAGGAAUACUGGUCAAUGGGCGAGAGCCUGAACCAGCCAAGUAGCGUGCAGGAUGACGGCCCUAUGGGUUGUAAACUGCUUUUAUGCGGGGAUAAAGUGCGGCACGCGUGCCGUUUUGUAGGUACCGCAUGAAUAAGGACCGGCUAAUUCCGUGCCAGCCGCAGC
Molecule: ribosomal RNA, 512 nt
Filed under: uncultured bacterium
Lineage: Bacteria
Description: bacterial SSU rRNA
Rfam family: Bacterial small subunit ribosomal RNA
Source: RNAcentral